This 1361-nucleotide ribosomal RNA is filed under the name Weissella confusa. RNAcentral describes it as "16S ribosomal RNA". It matches the Rfam family "Bacterial small subunit ribosomal RNA", at positions 93 to 1442 of the family's 1533-position model. Lineage: Bacteria; Bacillati; Bacillota; Bacilli; Lactobacillales; Lactobacillaceae. The record is from RNAcentral.
GAGUGGCGAACGGGUGAGUAACACGUGGGAAACCUACCUCUUAGCAGGGGAUAACAUUUGGAAACAGAUGCUAAUACCGUAUAACAAUGACAACCGCAUGGUUGUUAUUUAAAAGAUGGUUCUGCUAUCACUAAGAGAUGGUCCCGCGGUGCAUUAGCUAGUUGGUAAGGUAAUGGCUUACCAAGGCGAUGAUGCAUAGCCGAGUUGAGAGACUGAUCGGCCACAAUGGGACUGAGACACGGCCCAUACUCCUACGGGAGGCAGCAGUAGGGAAUCUUCCACAAUGGGCGAAAGCCUGAUGGAGCAACGCCGCGUGUGUGAUGAAGGGUUUCGGCUCGUAAAACACUGUUGUAAGAGAAGAAUGACAUUGAGAGUAACUGUUCAAUGUGUGACGGUAUCUUACCAGAAAGGAACGGCUAAAUACGUGCCAGCAGCCGCGGUAAUACGUAUGUUCCAAGCGUUAUCCGGAUUUAUUGGGCGUAAAGCGAGCGCAGACGGUUAUUUAAGUCUGAAGUGAAAGCCCUCAGCUCAACUGAGGAAUUGCUUUGGAAACUGGAUGACUUGAGUGCAGUAGAGGAAAGUGGAACUCCAUGUGUAGCGGUGAAAUGCGUAGAUAUAUGGAAGAACACCAGUGGCGAAAGCGGCUUUCUGGACUGUAACUGACGUUGAGGCUCGAAAGUGUGGGUAGCAAACAGGAUUAGAUACCCUGGUAGUCCACACCGUAAACGAUGAGUGCUAGGUGUUUGAGGGUCUCCGCCCUUAAGUGCCGCAGCUAACGCAUUAAGCACUCCGCCUGGGGAGUACGACCGCAAGGUUGAAACUCAAAGGAAUUGACGGGGACCCGCACAAGCGGUGGAGCAUGUGGUUUAAUUCGAAGCAACGCGAAGAACCUUACCAGGUCUUGACAUCCCUUGACAACUCCAGAGAUGGAGCGUUCCCUUCGGGGACAAGGUGACAGGUGGUGCAUGGUUGUCGUCAGCUCGUGUCGUGAGAUGUUGGGUUAAGUCCCGCAACGAGCGCAACCCUUAUUACUAGUUGCCAGCAUUCAGUUGGGCACUCUAGUGAGACUGCCGGUGACAAACCGGAGGAAGGUGGGGAUGACGUCAAAUCAUCAUGCCCCUUAUGACCUGGGCUACACACGUGCUACAAUGGCGUAUACAACGAGUUGCCAACCCGCGAGGGUGAGCUAAUCUCUUAAAGUACGUCUCAGUUCGGAUUGUAGGCUGCAACUCGCCUACAUGAAGUCGGAAUCGCUAGUAAUCGCGGAUCAGCACGCCGCGGUGAAUACGUUCCCGGGUCUUGUACACACCGCCCGUCACACCAUGAGAGUUUGUAACACCCAAAGCCGGUGGGGUAACCUU